CCUACGGGGCGCACCAGUGGGGAAUAUUGCACAAUGGGCGCAAGCCUGAUGCAGCCAUGCCGCGUGUAUGAAGAAGGCCUUCGGGCUGUAAAGUACUUUCAGCGAGGAGGAAGGCACUAAGGUUAAUAACCUUGGUGAUUGACGUUACUCGCAGAAGAAGCACCGGCUAACUCCGUGCCAGCAGCCGCGGUGAUACGGAGGGUGCAAGCGUUAAUCGGAAUUACUGGGCGUAAAGCGCACGCAGGCGGUCUGUCAAGUCGGAUGUGAAAUCCCCGGGCUCAACCUGGGUACUGCAUUCGAAACUGGCAGGCUAGAGUCUUGUAGAGGGGGGUAGAAUUCCAGGUGUAGCGGUGAAAUGCGUAGAGAUCUGGAGGAAUACCGGUGGCGAAGGCAGCCCCCUGGACAAAGACUGACGCUCAGGUGCGAAAGCGUGGGGAGCAAACAGGAUUAGAUACCCGUGUAGUC
Molecule: ribosomal RNA, 465 nt
Filed under: uncultured bacterium
Lineage: Bacteria
Description: bacterial SSU rRNA
Rfam family: Bacterial small subunit ribosomal RNA
Source: RNAcentral